This is a long non-coding RNA of Carya illinoinensis, 2889 nucleotides long. RefSeq lists it as uncharacterized. NCBI's taxonomy places the organism in Eukaryota, Viridiplantae, Streptophyta, Magnoliopsida, Fagales, Juglandaceae. The record is from RefSeq and is a predicted model, not a curated record. The transcript is spliced from 2 exons.
CUCUCUCUCUCUCUCUCUCUCUCUCGGAUUGUAGCUUAAUAUUUCUCGAUCUGUCACUGUCAUGGAGUCCAUUUCUCGCCCUUUUCUCUUUGAUUUUCUUUCCGUUGGCUACCAAAAAUGUUUAAUAACUAGUUAAUUAUGAUUGUAAUCAAGGGAUUUUCGAUUUUGGGGUUUGUAAUAACCAGUUUAGGCUGUUUUUCCAACCUAAUUUAGUGGUUUGAGUACUGCGGUGCAUGUGUGGUUCCUCAUGUGGAAAAGCCAAACUCAGUUGCAAAACUGAUUCUAGAAUAUGUUUAGGAAGAUUGCUAUAAAGAGAUGGAAUGUGUUCGUUCACCAACAUUGAAGCUUCACUCUCAGUCUAUGCAUAAAUGACACAGAGAUGGCUGCAUUGUACACCAUAUUCAAGAUUUGGUAAUGUAAUUCUGGAAUGAGCUAAUUUAAGGGCCAUUUGGUAGAGUUAUUUUUUAAGUUUGAACAAUCUUUGUAUUAAUUUUCAUUUCGUUUUAUGGUUUGGUAAUCAUCUUUGUAUAAACUGCUGGUUCUAGAAACUUGUUUGCCAUUGAUAUAUAGAAGUUGUCAGUCAUUACUCUUUAUGUUUUACCGAAGGACUUCUAAGCAGUUUAACCCUUUGUUUACAGGAAAUUUAUAUGGAUUUUGUGAGUUUGUAGAUUGAAGAGAAUGUUUGAUUGAAGCACAAACCUGCUUACUUUGGCCCCUGAACUUCACAUAUCUAGUCAAAUUAUUAGAAGAGCAGUUAUAGUUGAGACUAAUACUGCUGUUGUUGUUGUUAUAAAUUAAUUGUUGGAGUAAUUUGAAGGCAAUUCGUCACCUUAUAUGAACAACAUGGUGUUCACAAAAAUAGGUCCUGCACAAAGAACAAAAAUGGGUGAUCUACUUGAUGAUUUCUAUGAUUUCAAAGAAAAUAGAAGAGAUAUCCAAAUAUUAAAGGAGUUGUAAGUGAAGCAUAGAGAUUGUGAAGUAUGGGGUUGUGUUGGUUGUUCUAUGUGGAGUUUAGUUGGACUUUUGUAUUGAGUAUGUGUGUUGUAGGUAUUGCCAAGAGGCUUAUAUAUUGAGUAAAGUAUUUUAAGUGUUGGAUGGACAGAUUUUAUGCAUUUUGAAAGUAAUAUGAGGUUUAUAUGAUCAUAAUUUGUGUAAUGGGUUUAGUUUAUGGGCGCAUAUUUAUUUAGUUGAAGAGUUGGUAAGAUUUUAUUUAAAUGCAAUGGUUUAUGAAUUUGAAUGUACAUGAGAACCAUGAAGUCCAACAAUUGGACAGAUUUUUGCAUAAAUAUGUUGGGUAUGAUAAAUUAUAUGGAAGUGAUGUAUGGAUUGAGUAUGCAUGUUUGUGUGAAAGAAGCUUAUUAGUCUUUGUGAAUUGUAAUUGUGUUGGAUUGAUGUAUAUGUGCAACAAGUAUGCUAGUAUCUUUUAUGAAUUUAAGUUGUGUAUAUGGAAGAUUGGAGUGGAAUGAUAGGAAUUGGUACUAGAUAUUGAAGUGAUGUUGGUUGGGAUUUAGUUGUAGGCUUGUGAGAUCAGUUUAUUUUCUUUUUCCUCAGAAAAUAAAGGUUUAAAUGUUAAAGAACUGUGUGAGAUCAAUUCUGGCUGGGUUCUGCUUCCAUAGUUACCAGUGGGCGUUUCUCAAGUUGAGAUAUGAGAUCACCAAGGUUGAACGCAUCUUUGUGGUGGGGAACUCUGGCAAACAUUUUGAGAUAAUUCUAGUUAAGUGUCUUGGAUUACUCGUUUAAUUCCAGCAUGUUUAUAGCUGAUUUUAGGAAACCACACACAAGUGCACAUUUUGAGAUAAUUUUCUUGGAGUGUUUGCCAAGAACCACACAAAACACAACAAUGGAGAUUCGUACGUGUGAUGUGAGACAAAUUUAGCUACUGGAGAUUCCAGUAAUAGAAACAAGAUUUAAAAUUAACGGCAAUUACGGUUUGAAAUGUUAAUGUUAACGGUCUGAUCUUUUCACCAGUGGCAAAUUAGCAAAUAGUUCUCGUUAAUUGUGCUUACCUCAUCAACUGUACUAUUUAAUUCCCAAAUGACAUUAUGCUACUAUAAGUUUAGCUGUGUGUAUAUGUUGGAGAACUAGGUACCUUGUGCAGUUUCUAAUAUAUAAUGAUAUGCAGUUCAGUAUAUAUAAUGAUGUACUAUGGUGAUAUCAAUCUCUAGUUUCCAAGUGCUUAAAUUUACAUUCCCAUAUUCUAUGUACUGUGGUGACUACAAAAAGUGCAUCUUGAUUCAACUAGUUAAUAAAUAGUUGAAAAUAUAUAAUCACAAAAAUUAAGGAACAACACCUUAGAUCUUCCACAUUAAUAUAAAAAUCAUAUCAUCCACAAAUUUUUUCUUUUAUAUGACCAGAAUAUGGGUGGAAUGGAAUGAUUCUUUAAAGGAUCUUUUUCCCAAUUUUGUAGCUUUGAGAUCAAUGAAGGAGGUUUCUUUUGGUUUAUAAUAUGACUUACAUGCAUGCACCCAUUUUCUUUUGGUUUAUAAUAGUUUUUAGGUUUCCUAAUUUUGUAGUUGCAAUUUAAAUUUCUAUUGGGUUUUGGAAACUAAAGAAAAAUUUGUGAAUCUAAAUUUUUGCAGCUUUGAGAUCAAUGAAGGAGGUUUCCAGUUUUCAGAUGAAGAGGUAUACCUUUAGGUUUUGAGAUGAAGAAGGCAGCUUCCAUGAUGAUCAAGACUUGCUAAGGAAAUCCUUAUUAUACAAUAAAUAUGAGGAGUAUACAUGUAAACUUACAUUGAUAUAUUAAUGUGGCAUAUUGGGGUGAAUUUCAAAUAGCACCUUUUUUUAUGAAUGAAUGAUAUACCGAUACAUGUUGGGGGUAUUUCAAAUAUCUAUAUCAUGUAAACGAUUAAUUCAUGAUAUUAUAUACUUAUUAGAGAAUAUGUUAAUCUA